This 340-nucleotide unclassified non-coding RNA is filed under the name fungal sp. RNAcentral describes it as "partial internal transcribed spacer region". The stretch from base 1 to 46 matches the Rfam family "Eukaryotic small subunit ribosomal RNA", at positions 1786 to 1831 of the family's 1831-position model. RNAcentral also lists the same sequence under 1 other name. Lineage: Eukaryota; Fungi. The record is from RNAcentral.
AAGUCGUAACAAGGUUUCCGUAGGUGAACCUGCGGAAGGAUCAUUAACACGUUGCAAACGUUUAAUAAUCAACUUUCAACUCCGCGCACGUUGUUAAAAUAUUUAUACGGAUCUUUGGUUCGAACCAAGGAAAUACCCUGUGUUGGUCUUGCUUGUGAUGGGUGAGUCAUCAGGGUUGACGAAAAGGACUUGGUUCUGGAUCUACUAUGGUCCGUCAUCAUAUUUGUUUUUUAACCCCUUGAAUCUUAUCAGUCUGAAACUUUUUUUUUCUGUUCGCAAGGACGAAAAAAAAAACAAACGAAACAAAGAACAACUCUUAGCAACGGAUAUCUUGGUUCUC